CGUUUCCUGCCCAGUUGUAAUUCACUAGUUGUUAGUCCGUUAUAGCAAGAUGCUGGUUGUUGUGGUGGUGGCAGUGAUGGCUGGGUUGGUCUCCGCAAGACCCCAAUGGAACUUUGGUGGUUCAGGAGAGAAUUUCGGGGGCUACGACCCCUACUACGGCUAUGGUGGCUACGGGGGCGGCUUCGGCUACAACGAUUUUUACGGUGGCUUUGGUGGCUUCGAUCAAGGGUUUGGAGGUGGCUUUGGUCAAGGGUUUGGAGGUGGCUUCGGUGGCUUUGAUUUCUUCAAAUAGUUGUGCACCUCACUGCUCGAGUUGACAGUUUUAUCUUAUAAUGAAACGCAGGACAGGGUUUCUCCAGUAAGCCUACUGGCUUAUGCAAGCCAUCUACAGUAAGCCUAAUAGAUUACACAAGCCAUCUACAGUAAGCCUACUAGAUUAUACAAGCCAUCUCCAGUAAUCCUACUCGAUUACACAAGCCAUCUACAGUAAGCCUACUAGAUUACACAAGCCAUCUACAGUAAGCCUACUAGUUUAUAUAAGCCACCUGCAGUAGGCCUACCAUACAAGCCACCUGCAGUAGGCUUACCAUACAGGUCACCUGCAGUAGGCCUACCAUACAAGCCACCUGCAGUAGGCCUACCAUACAGGUCACCUGCAGUAGGCCUACCAUACAAGCCACCUGCAGUAGGCCUACCAUACAAGUCACCUGCAGUAGGCCUACCAUACAAGCCAGGUUCUGCCCAUCACCAACCAUAAUAAACUUUAAACAUUUUUCUUAACUAUAACAAUAAAUUAGCCAAUAAAUAUUAUAAAAAAAUAAUGCGAUUUUCCAAUAUUUCAAUAUUAUCUUUCCGUGUUAUAUUAAACCCGUUCCAUAAAUAAAAAUUAAUGAUAUAAA
Molecule: long non-coding RNA, 899 nt
Organism: Cherax quadricarinatus
Lineage: Eukaryota; Metazoa; Arthropoda; Malacostraca; Decapoda; Parastacidae
Source: RefSeq, a predicted model, not a curated record